Molecule: small RNA, 110 nt
Filed under: bovine gut metagenome
Description: RT-5 RNA
Rfam family: RT-5 RNA
About the family: Clostridium (Firmicutes). Environment (Cow rumen (57))
Source: RNAcentral
AGCGCCCGCGGCGGACCCGGCACGCGCCUUAACCCCUGCGGGGGCUUUGCGGGCAGCCGGCACGUGUACGGUCUGGUCAUUCCGUGAAUUAUCACGGAUUUAACAUCUUC